AAGUCGUAACAAGGUCUCCGUUGGUGAACCAGCGGAGGGAUCAUUACUGAGUACUACACUCUCUACCCUUUGUGAACUAUUAUACCUGUUGCUUCGGCGGCGCCCGCAAGGGUGCCCGCCGGUCUCAUCAGAAUCUCUGUUUUCGAACCCGACGAUACUUCUGAGUGUUCUUAGCGAACUGUCAAAACUUUUAACAACGGAUCUCUUGGCUCCAGCAUCGAUGAAGAACGCAGCGAAACGCGAUAUGUAAUGUGAAUUGCAGAAUUCAGUGAAUCAUCGAAUCUUUGAACGCACAUGAGCGCCUUCCAGUAUCCUGGGAGGCAUGCCUGUCCGAGCGUCGUUUCAACCCUCGAGCCCCUGUGGCCCGGCGUUGGGGAUCUGCCACGGCAGGCCCCUAAAACCAGUGGCGGACCCGAAGGGCCCUCUCCUUUGCGCAGUAGCAUUCGCCUCGCAUCGGGAGUCCUCGGCGUCCUGCCUCUAAACCCCCCACAAGCCCGACUUCGGCGGCACCAAGGUUGACCUCGGAUCAGGUAGGAAUACCCGCUGAACUUAA
This 553-nucleotide ribosomal RNA is filed under the name uncultured fungus. RNAcentral's name for it is "eukaryotic LSU rRNA". The stretch from base 186 to 340 matches the Rfam family "5.8S ribosomal RNA". Lineage: Eukaryota; Fungi. The record is from RNAcentral.